Lactuca sativa (garden lettuce) is the source of this 1013-nucleotide long non-coding RNA. RefSeq lists it as uncharacterized. The record is from RefSeq and is a predicted model, not a curated record. NCBI's taxonomy places the organism in Eukaryota, Viridiplantae, Streptophyta, Magnoliopsida, Asterales, Asteraceae.
UAUUGGUCAUUUUCUCAAAGUUUAAAGGAAUUAGGGCUUUUUACACCCCGUCUUCAUUUGGUCGAUCAGUCAUAGGAAUGAAGAACACGAAUGACUCACGAAGCCAGAUGAACAAAGGCGUGAGAAGGAAGCACGAAGCGACGGCGCUGCAUCCGGGCCCUUGCUUGUCGCAGGUCAUGAAGAGGACCGAAGGAAGAAGAAGCUCGUAGGCGGCUAAUCCUGAUGUCUUGGUCGAUCGAUCGCGAAGAGGGAGGCGUCUCCGGGGUUCGACGAGGCCGACGGGGAGGAUGGGAGAAGCAACGAGGCUGCUGUUGCCUCGGUAGCUGCAGCGAGGAGCGAAACGGGAUGAGUGAUUCAUUGGUUUUGGAUCGAGGGUUCGGUGUGGCUAAGAGAUUGCGAAAGGAAGGAGGCCAGAGAAGGGUCCGACGAGCGGUACGCCGUCGCAGGUAGGGGAUUCGGUGGCGUUUGCUCGACAGAAGAAGAAGAGAUGUGCGAGAGGUGGGGCUGCUGUGUCGAUGAUUCACCGAAGCACCACCACAGCUGGUGGUUCAUGACAGAGGACGAAGAUACAGGCAGAAAAUCAAGGAAGAAAGGAAAGAAAAAAAAUAAUCUCCAGCUUUGUUUUAAUUAACAGCAAAGGAAAUGGGAAAAAGAUAAAUUCCAUUCUCUUGAUUUCACAGGGAAAGAAAGGGAAGAGGGGGAAAAGAGGUGAAGAAGAUGACGAAUGCAGGAGUGUUUAUGGAUUUUGAUGUUUCAUUUGACAACUUCAAUUGAGAAAGGAAACACAUUUACUUUGUGUGAUUUAAUAUUUCUUUUGUGUGUGAUUUAGUAUAAGCUGAAAGUUAGAAGCAACACAAUAAUUUAUUCUCUUUUAUGGUGUAUAAGCAAUCAAAGAUUUUGAAUAUUUUCUCAUCAUACUUCAUUUACUUUGAGUUCAAGAUAACAAGUUAUGUAUGUGUACUUUGGGUUAAUUUUGUAAGCAUUGAAUAAGUCAAAAAGUAUGUAUUUUUAUA